This 354-nucleotide unclassified non-coding RNA is filed under the name soil metagenome. RNAcentral's name for it is "partial contains 5.8S ribosomal RNA, internal transcribed spacer 2, and large subunit ribosomal RNA". The stretch from base 1 to 120 matches the Rfam family "5.8S ribosomal RNA", at positions 35 to 154 of the family's 154-position model. The record is from RNAcentral.
GAUGAAGAACGUAGCGAAAUGCGAUAAGUAAUGUGAAUUGCAGAAUUCCGUGAAUCAUCGAAUCUUUGAACGCACAUUGCGCCCCCUGGCAUUCCGGGGGGCAUGCCUGUCCGAGCGUCAUUUCUGCACUCCAGCCCGGCUGGGUGUUGGGCGCUGUCCCCCCGGGGACACGCCCCAAAGGCAGUGGCGGCGCCGCGUCGGGUCCUCGAGCGUAUGGGGCUUUGUCACCCGCUCGGGACGGACUCGUCGGCGCUGGUCUUCCUCCAGGCGACCCUUCGGGGCUCGUCUUCCUUCGGUUGACCUCGGAUCAGGUAGGGUUACCCGCUGAACUUAAGCAUAUCAAUAAGCGGAGGA